CGUUCCCCCUUCUCCAUCCCUCAGAACUAAGCUGCAAGAAUGCUAUGGUGAUCAGGACUUCCUAGCCAAGCUCCAUUGUGUGAGACAAGCUUUCCAGGUUCUGUUGCUGGAUGAAACUCACCGGACGUUCUUCAUGGAGACCGGCAAGCAGAUGAUCACAGGACUCAUGACCAAGGCAAACAAGAGUCCCAAAGCCUUCCUGGAAGCAUAUGAGGACAUGCUUCUCUACACCCAGAGACUCUACACCCUCUAUCUUGGCUGGUCAGCAAGAUAGAGCUAGAGGGAUGAGGGGUGGUGGUUAUGAACUUCUUUGACAUUGUGCUGGACUUCAUCCUACUGGAUGCCUUCGAGGACCUGGAGAGCCCACCCUCGUCCAUGGUGGCCAUGCUGAGGAACCGAUGGCUCUCCGACAGCUUUAAGGAGAUAGCCCUGGCUACUGCGUGCUGGUCUGUUCUGAAGGACAAGAGACGUCUGCUGAUGGUUCCAGAUGGCUUCAUCUCCCACUUCUACGCCAUAUCAGAAUAAGUGAGCCCUGUGAUAUUGGUAUGUGCAGCUCAGGGUUUCCAAUAGGAAAAUGUGGUUCCGGACAUUUGACCGGCAAUAUUUUGAUUUACCUACAGUAUAUGGAUUGGGUGCUCAGAAUGACAGAAAUCACAUCACAUUUAGAUUAGGGUAAUUCAUCUUAACAAUAAAUGCAACUCGAGGAAGCAACAGCAUGCGUCCUUCUUACCGCUUUCCGAUGCGCACUUUGAAGAUGUUAGAAUAAAUGUCCACAUUUUACUUUCCUCAGCCAACAGGACGAGUAGCAAACAGCAAACUAGCUUAAAAUUACUACCAUAGAAAGAAAAGUUAACCUAGAAAUAGCCUAUUCCAAACACUCUGGGACAGUUGUUGGACGAUAGAUAAAGUUCAUACAACCAGUACAUCAAAAUUACUUUAAAAAGCAUUGAGGAUGAUGCAACAGAUAAGAACGUUUAGAUUAAAAUGUUGAUAAAUUAUUAUUUCUUCACAUUAUAACUGCAUCGCAAUGUGCCCACAGCAGUAGGCCUAGGCUACGCAUAAAUGUUUGUUCCAUAAUGCAAUUAGCCUAAAAACACUGUCAAAAGCGCACUGUAUAUGUGAGGGGUUUCAUGUGACAGAGAUGAAAAUAUAUGUUUGAAAUUUUGAAAGAAGGGAGAUCUAAAGAUGCAACAAUUAGCAUGGGUUGCUAAUAUGACUAGGAUUGUGCCUUUGGCUAUACUGGACAAUGAAAGAAAGUUGAUUUGAAAACCAAUAGAACCUAAGAGAAUUAGGCUACUUGUUUCAAUGGCAUAAGGAAAGGGUGAAAUUGUGGUGUGAAUGUUGGGGGGAUGUUAGACUGGGCACCUCCCCCUGAUUUUUAUUUUUACAUUUUAAAACUAAUUUCUUGCAAUUCUACACAGUUUGACUUGACUUACUAUGCCUUUCUUGAGGAGUAUUUUGAAAACGCAGUGUAAGUGGGUGA
Molecule: long non-coding RNA, 1483 nt
Organism: Salvelinus fontinalis (brook trout)
Lineage: Eukaryota; Metazoa; Chordata; Actinopteri; Salmoniformes; Salmonidae
Exons: 5
Source: RefSeq, a predicted model, not a curated record